GGGCAUGUGGUGUAGUUGGUUAUCACGCUCGCUUAGCAUUCUUGGAUGGUGCGAGAGGGGUCCGGUUCGAUCCCGGACAUGUCCA
Molecule: transfer RNA, 85 nt
Filed under: Wolfiporia cocos MD-104 SS10
Lineage: Eukaryota; Fungi; Basidiomycota; Agaricomycetes; Polyporales; Phaeolaceae
Description: tRNA-Ala
Rfam family: tRNA
About the family: Transfer RNA (tRNA) molecules are approximately 80 nucleotides in length. Their secondary structure includes four short double-helical elements and three loops (D, anti-codon, and T loops).
Source: RNAcentral